This 78-nucleotide ribosomal RNA is filed under the name Anaerococcus faecalis. RNAcentral's name for it is "Anaerococcus sp. AGMB00486 partial 16S ribosomal RNA". It matches the Rfam family "Bacterial small subunit ribosomal RNA", at positions 1 to 77 of the family's 1533-position model. Lineage: Bacteria; Bacillati; Bacillota; Tissierellia; Tissierellales; Peptoniphilaceae. The record is from RNAcentral.
UUUAAAUGAGAGUUUGAUCCUGGCUCAGGAUAAACGCUGGCGGCGUGCAUAACACAUGCAAGUCGAACGAUGAAGGUU